CACGGAAGUCACAAUAAAGAGGAAAAGUGAAGUUAAAAUAGACCCGUUGGCUUCCCGUGCGUGUGAGCCCCGUUAACCGCUGGACGCGCUCUGCGGUGUCAGGUACCGGAGUUCAGGCGCACCGGGGAGAGGGAGAGCUGCGUCAAGCUAGCCGCCUAGCGGCAGACCGGAUGCGCUUGGAUAUUACUUUCAAAAUAAGACGUUCUAAUCCCGGAAGUUAUUAUUUUGUAUAAUACGGAUAAAUUAAUGGGAACGCGUUGAAUUAGCAUUCUUAGCGAUUAGCUAGCGUCGUAAAUUGCAAACUGGAAUUAAAAUUGGGCUGACUAACUUCUUAAAUUGCAGCUAUGAGCAGAUAGGUAAAAUCCCUUGAGGAGCCUCAACGCUAAUAGCCAGAGUUAAUAAAAAUAUGCAUGCAUACCUGUUGCCAAGUAUUUACCAACCAAGCUUUAAGUAAUUGCCGUCUGCAUGCCUACCUUGGUUCCACAUCAUCAUCAUCAUCAGCCCAAGCGCAGAUAUUAGCUCACUGCCAGCAUCCCGGACCGUGUGAGCGCUAGCGUGGGCGAGUGGUGCUGUCAUACGAGUGGUGACGCGCCACAGUCACACUCAGCAGGGGUGUCGUCUCACCAAACCCAAAAGGUGUGGCAGAGCUCCAACACAGGACCUUAAAGCCACUAUGAUGAGCUUGAUGUGUGAAAGAAGUAUCCAGAUCCUUGGCCUCAAUACCGAAAUGCACAAAUACUGGCCACAGCUCUUAUACAUCCAGCAUUGAGAAUUUCAUUUCACUUGUUUUUUCCAUUUAAUUCCAAUUCCAUAUAAAUGCUGACCUUAAAUGAAUGAAAUCACCCCCGUCAUCACUGUAAACGAUGGAGGUGAUACUAACAAGCCAGAGAGUAAAAACGGCAGAAUCUGCAUCUUAACGUACUAAAAUAGAGCUCCUGCUCAUUUUUCUGGGGGCUCCAUCUAAUUCCCUUAAGGCCUCCUGGCGCUCCCUGGAUCCCGCUUUGGGAACUAAUUUUAGAACUACAGUGUACAGUAGGUCUUAGUAAAUAGCUUACAGGGAGCACUUGUCUUAAAUGCUCUCCUGCUAAUUUUUUAAUAUUUACAUAUGGCCUCUAAAUCAUUUUCUGGGGAUGUUUUGCUUAAUGUUUACACUUUAUUACACUGAAAAUAAGAGUCUCGUAUUAAUAGCUCAGAGGGUACAAUGCUCAUUACACUCAAGAAAACAAAUUUGGACGGAUUAAUAAAAGACAGCUAUACUAUUAUUGGCUUCUACUA
RNAcentral lists this long non-coding RNA (1275 nucleotides) under Betta splendens (Siamese fighting fish). Its description in RNAcentral is "lncRNA (ENSBSLG00000019658.1)". The record is from RNAcentral. Lineage: Eukaryota; Metazoa; Chordata; Actinopteri; Anabantiformes; Osphronemidae.